Molecule: ribosomal RNA, 254 nt
Filed under: uncultured bacterium
Lineage: Bacteria
Description: partial 16S ribosomal RNA
Rfam family: Bacterial small subunit ribosomal RNA
Source: RNAcentral
UACGUAGGGUGCAAGCGUUAAUCGGAAUUACUGGGCGUAAAGCGUGCGCAGGCGGUUUUGUAAGUCUGUCGUGAAAUCCCCGGGCUCAACCUGGGAAUGGCGAUGGAGACUGCAAGGCUAGAGUUUGGCAGAGGGGGGGUAGAAUUCCACGUGUAGCAGUGAAAUGCGUAGAUAUGUGGAGGAACACCGAUGGCGAAGGCAGCCCCCUGGGUCAAAACUGACGCUCAUGCACGAAAGCGUGGGGAGCAAACAGG